RNAcentral lists this ribosomal RNA (131 nucleotides) under Frigidoalvania brychia. RNAcentral describes it as "partial 16S ribosomal RNA". The record is from RNAcentral. Lineage: Eukaryota; Metazoa; Mollusca; Gastropoda; Littorinimorpha; Rissoidae.
UUGAAAAUACACAUGACGAUACACUACGUAAUUUUUUGGUUGGGGCGACCUAGGAACAUAUAAAACUUCCUAAUAUGUAUAGAUUAAUAAAUGAUGAUCCAGUACAACUGAUUUACAAAAUAAGUUACCCC